CAAGCAAGAAGGUUAAGAAGAAGGCAAUGAUGGCACAAUGGAGCAAUAAUGAGGACUCUAGCUCUGACGAAGAAGCACAAAAAGUUGCCAACCUUUGCUUGAUGGCUCAUCAAGAGGAGGUAAAUGUUGAAAUUUCCUUAGAUUUUACUUUUGAUAAGUUACAAGAGACAUUUAUAGAUCUUUUAAUUGAAUUUAAUGAAG
This 201-nucleotide long non-coding RNA is filed under the name Elaeis guineensis (African oil palm). RNAcentral describes it as "long non-coding RNA (EGUI_LNC041221)". The record is from RNAcentral. Lineage: Eukaryota; Viridiplantae; Streptophyta; Magnoliopsida; Arecales; Arecaceae.